RNAcentral lists this transfer RNA (77 nucleotides) under Eubacteriales Family XIII. Incertae Sedis bacterium. RNAcentral's name for it is "tRNA-Val". It matches the Rfam family "tRNA". From Rfam's summary of the family: Transfer RNA (tRNA) molecules are approximately 80 nucleotides in length. The record is from RNAcentral. Lineage: Bacteria; Bacillati; Bacillota; Clostridia; Peptostreptococcales; Anaerovoracaceae.
GGGGGCAUAGCUCAGUUGGUUAGAGCGCUUGCGUCACAAGCAAGAGGUCACUGGUUCGAAUCCAGUUGUCCCCACCA